AAUGAACCAGCUGCAGAGGAUGGCGUCCGUGGACACGGACAAGGAGCUCAGUAACCUCCAGGACUUCAGCAUGAUGUUCCCGCUGCCUGUCGCCAACGGGAAGGGCCAGCCCACCUCCCUGGCCGGGUCGCAAUUCAGAGGUUCAGGUCUUGAGGACCGGCCCAGCUCAGGCUCCUGGAGCAGCGGCGACCAGAACAGCUCCUCCUUUGACCCCAGCUGGACCUUCAGCGAAGGCGCUCACCUUGCUGAGUCGCAUAGCAGCCUCUCUUCAUCCACAUUCCUGAGACUGUGACUUGGAGGCAAGAGCAGCGAGCUGGACGCCUAUGCCUCCUUUGGGAGAGACGCAGGCGUGGGCGGCCUGACUCAGGCUGGCUUCCUGCCAGACGAGCUGGCCUUCAGCACCCCCGGACCCCUGUUCCCUUCGGGCAUGAAGGCGACCUCCCAGUACUACCCCUCCUACGCCGGCAGCUCCGGCGGAGAGAGGCGGACGGCGGCCUGGACACGCAGUCCACAAAGGUCCAGAAGGUCCCGCCUGUCUUCCAUCCUCGGCAUACCUGCCCAGCUCAGGUGAGGACUACGGUAGGGAUGCUGCCGCCUACCUGUUCGCCAAGACCCCCAGCAGGGCCUAUCCCGCCCCCUUCUACAUGGCAGAUGGCAGCCUGCACCCCUCAGCCCCUCAGCUGAGGUCUGGAGUUCCCUGGGCCAGGCGGGCUUUGGCCCCAUGCUGGGCGGGGGCUCAUCCCCCCCGCCUCUCCUGCCUGGCAGCGGCCCUGUGGGCAGUGGCAGAGGCAGCAGCACGUUUGGUGGCCUGCACCAGCAUGAGCGCAUGGGCUACCAGCUGCACAGAGCAGAGGUGAAAGGCGGGCUCCCGGCUGCAUCCACCUUCUCCUUGGCCCCCUGGAGCCGCGUACGGCAGUGUCUCUAGCCACAGGCCGCCUGUCAGCGGGGCCGACAGCCUCCUGGGCUCGCGAGGGACCACAACCAGCAGCUCCGGGGACGCCCUCAGGCAGGCAUGUCCUCAAUCUACUCCCAGGAUCACUCAAGCAGUAACUUCUCGUCCAGCUCCUCCACUGCUGUGGGAUCCCCCCAGGGCCUGGGAGGGACGUCACGCUGGCCUGGAGCAGGAGUCCCCGGUGCCUUAUCACCCAGCUAGGACAGGGGUCUCUAUGGCCUGCAGAGUAAGAUAGAAGACCACCUGAACAAGGCCAUCCACGUGCUCUGCAGCCACACCGUGGGCACGGCCUGCAACGGGCACACGCUGCUGCCCGGCGACAGGGUGCUGGCCUUGGGCUUCGCCGGCCCCAUGCUGCUGGUGGGGGCAGCACGCAGGCCUGGUUGGAGGCUGACACCCUGAGGAUGGCCCUGUGGGCAGCGCCAGCCUCAUGCAUAUCCACGUGGCUCUCUCCAGCUAGCCAGGCGCCCUCCCCGACCUCUCUUGGCCUCCCGACUCCUACAGUGGGCUAGGGCAAGCAGGCCACUGGUGAAAUCAAGCCAGAGGAGGAGGAUGAGGAGAACACGGCGGAGGCUGACCACUCAAGAGGAGAAGAAGGAGCUGAAGGACCAUCAGGUCCAGACCAGCCCAGAGGAGGACGAGGACAAAGAUGACCUUCUCCCCCCAGAGCAGAAGGCCAAGCAGGAGAAGGAGUGCCAGGUGGCCAAUAACGCCAGGGAGUGACUGUGAGUCCCCUAAGAGGCCUUUUAAGGAGCUGGGGCACAUGUGGCAACUGCACUCAACAGCGAAAAGCCCCAGACCAAACUGCUUAUCCUGCACCAGGCCGUCUCGGUCAUGCUGAACUUGGAGCAGCAAGUGCGAGAGCGGAACGUGAAUCCCAAAACAGCCUGUUUGAAACGGUGAGGUGUCGGCCGUGUUCGGAGACCCCCAGAUGGUGCUUUCAGCUGCGCACCUGGGCCUGAGCGAAGCCCACAACCCCGCCGGGCACAUGUGAAAGGUACGCCUCUGUGGUUCAAGCCACUGGCCCUCAGCCCUGUGGGCUGGGCCCAGAACGCCCACUGGAGGCCCUGGGCUUCAUCCACAUCCACACCUCACACAACUGUUCUCAGCAUUGAGCCAACACCGUCCUGAUUAGGCUCGGAGUGAUUGGGGCAAGAAGGUGACUCUGGAUCCAGGAGCUCCCUGGGACCCUGGCUCACCUCUCACUGGCCUCACUCCCCCUGCCCCCAAAUCUCAGCCACCGUGUCACCCUGUGACCUGCCCCAUGGAUCCUGAAUCUGCGUCUUGGCCCUGUUGUCUGGGCUGACAGGAGCAUUUCUUUUCUUUUUUUUUGUUUUUCAGUAAACAAAACCUGAAAGCAAGUAACAGAACAUACACUUUGUCAGAAAAGAAAAAAAAUGCCUUAACUAUAAAAUGUGGAGACAUCAUAUCGCUUGAGGUCGAGAUGCUGUGAAAACUUGGCUUAUUCUUCAAAAGCCAGCAGCAAAUCGUGCCUAGGCAUAAUUUAAAGAAAAUGAAAAGAACAUUAGUUAUCAAAAAAAAAAAAAAAAAAAAACUGGACUGACCUGGGCCAGGUGGGACCAGACUGGCCUAGAGGACUUCAGAGGGCAACUCCCCUGGUAGGCCAGUCUCAGCUGACCUUGACUGUCCUGCUUCCAGACAGGGCCCAUCUGUCUUCCCCUUGAUCCCCUGCUGCAAAGACAUUACCUCCGAUGCCACCUCUAUGACCCCGGGCUGCCUGGCCACAGGGUACUUCCUGAAGCUGGUGACUGUGACCUGGGACACAGGCUACCUCAACAGGAGUGCUGUGACCUUCCCAGACACCACCCUCACACCCUCUGGCCACUACGCCACCACCAGCCAUCUGACCACAAGCAAAUGUUCACCUGCAGCGUGGUACACACUCUGUGGUCUGCAGGCCAGGUCAGUACCUUCAGUGUCUACUCUAGGGACUUCACCCUGCCCACCAUGAAGAUCUUACAGUCCUCCUGUGAUGGCAGUGGACACUUCCCCCCGACCAUCCAGUUCCUGUGCCUCAUUUUUGAGUACACCCCAGGUGCCAUCACCUGGCUGCAGGAUGGGCAGGUCGCGGAUGUGAACUGCUCUGUCACCUCUCCCAUGCUGAAGGGGGAGCUGGCCUCCACACAAAGCAAGCUCACCCUCACCCAGAAGCGUUGGCUGCCUGACCACACCUACACCUGCCAGGUCACCUAUCAAGGUAAUGCCUUUGAGGACAGUGCCAAGAAGCGUGCAGAUUUCAACCCGCAAGGGGUGAGUGCCUACCUGAGCUGGCCCGGUUGCUUCUACCUGUUCAUCCGCAAGUUGCCCACAAUCACCUGUCUGGUGGUGGACCUGGCACCUAGCAAGGGGACUGUGAAGCUGACCUGGUCCCGGGCCAGUGGGAAGUCUGUGGCCCAGGUCCUCCUAAGGCAAGAGAAGCAGUGCAGUGGCACGUUCAUCAUCACGUCCACUCUGCUGGUGGGUACCAGAGACUGGAUCGAGGGGGAGACCUACCAGUGCAGGGUGACCCACCUCCACCUGCCCAGGGCCCUUGUGCAGUCCAUGACCAAGAUCAGCCACCCUUGUGCUCCCCCCGAGGUCUACGUGUUUGCAAUGCUAGAAGAGCCGAGGAACCUAGACAAGUGCACCCUCACCUGCCUGAUCCAGAACUUCUAGCCUAAGGACAUCUUGGUGCAGUAGCUGCACAACGAGGUGCAGCUCCUAGAUGCCUGGCACAGCAUGACGCAGCCCCGCAAAACCAAGGGCUCUGGCUUCUUAGUCUUCAGCUGCCUGGAGGUGACCAGGGCUGAAUGGGAACAGAAAAAUGAGUUCAUCUGCCCCGUGGUCCAUGAGAUGGCGACUGGCUCACAGACUAUCAAGAAGCUAGUGGCUACAAAUCCCAUUAAAUGUCCUCCUGCCUUCCUCCCCACUAGGGCUCUGUCCAGCUGUGUGGUGGGAAGGGCUGGCCAGACCUUCUGUCCACUGUUGCAAUGACCCCAGGAGGCCACCCCCAAUAAACAGUGCGUGCUCAGAAACAAACAAACAAACAAACAUAAAAACCCUAGAAGAAAACCUAGGCAAUACCAUUCAGGACAUCGGCAUGGACAAAUACUUCAUGACUAAAACACCAAAGGCAAUGGCAAC
Non-coding RNA from Piliocolobus tephrosceles (Ugandan red Colobus), 4096 nucleotides. Lineage: Eukaryota; Metazoa; Chordata; Mammalia; Primates; Cercopithecidae. The record is from the annotation of a RefSeq genome assembly.